GACGAACGCUGGCGGCGUGCCUAAUACAUGCAAGUCGAACGCAGUGGGGACGGGUGAGUAACACGUGGGUAACCUCCCAUCAGAGGGGAUAACACUUGGAAACAGGUGCUAAACCGAUACUGAUGGAUGGACCCGCGGUGCAUUAGCUAGUUGGUGAGGUAACGGCUCACCAAGGCCACGAUGCAUAGCCGACCGUAGAGGGGUAGCGGCCACCCUGGGACUGAAGCAAUGCCCAGACUCCUACGGGAGGCAGCAGUAGGGAAUGUUCGGCAAUGGACGAAAGUCGGACCGGGCAACGCCGCGUGAGUGAAGAAGGUUUUCGGAUUGGAAAACCCUGUUGUUAGAGAAGCGGGAUCUAACCAGAAAGCCACGGCUAACUACGGUCCAGCAGCCGCGGUAAUAC
Molecule: ribosomal RNA, 403 nt
Filed under: uncultured bacterium
Lineage: Bacteria
Description: partial 16S ribosomal RNA
Rfam family: Bacterial small subunit ribosomal RNA
Source: RNAcentral